RNAcentral lists this ribosomal RNA (301 nucleotides) under uncultured bacterium. RNAcentral describes it as "partial 16S ribosomal RNA". It matches the Rfam family "Bacterial small subunit ribosomal RNA", at positions 509 to 807 of the family's 1533-position model. The record is from RNAcentral.
CAGCCGCCGCGGUAAAACGGAGGGUGCAAGCGUUAAUCGGAAUUACUGGGCGUAAAGCGCACGCAGGCGGUCUGUCAAGUCAGAUGUGAAAUCCCCGGGCUUAACCUGGGAACUGCAUUUGAAACUGGCAGGCUAGAGUCUUGUAGAGGGGGGUAGAAUUCCAGGUGUAGCGGUGAAAUGCGUAGAGAUCUGGAGGAAUACCGGUGGCGAAGGCGGCCCCCUGGACAAAGACUGACGCUCAGGUGCGAAAGCGUGGGGAGCAAACAGGAUUAGAGACCCCAGUAGUCCCUGUCUCUUAUAC